Molecule: long non-coding RNA, 76 nt
Filed under: Anser brachyrhynchus (Pink-footed goose)
Lineage: Eukaryota; Metazoa; Chordata; Aves; Anseriformes; Anatidae
Description: lncRNA (ENSABRG00000023054.1)
Source: RNAcentral
AGCAUUGUGGAGGAACAGAGCAAGAAAAGCUAGCCAGAAGACAUUGCUUCCUGUGCACGUCAGGUAAGGCAGAGUC